AUUACUUUGGCAGAUUAGUGUAAUUGAUUUAGAAUCUUUGAAUGUAUUUUACAAGUAAUA
This 60-nucleotide transfer RNA is filed under the name Rhagophthalminae sp. GENSP01. RNAcentral's name for it is "tRNA-Leu". Lineage: Eukaryota; Metazoa; Arthropoda; Insecta; Coleoptera; Rhagophthalmidae. The record is from RNAcentral.